CCUACGGGGGGCUGCAGUGGGGAAUAUUGGACAAUGGGCGAAAGCCUGAUCCAGCCAUGCCGCGUGUGUGAAGAAGGCCUUCGGGUUGUAAAGCACUUUCAGUGGGGAAGAAAGCCUUGAGGCUAAUACCCUCGAGGAAGGACAUCACCCACAGAAGAAGCACCGGCUAACUCCGUGCCAGCAGCCGCGGUAAUACGGAGGGUGCGAGCGUUAAUCGGAAUUACUGGGCGUAAAGCGCGCGUAGGCGGUCUGAUAAGCCGGUUGUGAAAGCCCCGGGCUCAACCUGGGAACGGCAUCCGGAACUGUCAGGCUAGAGUGCAGGAGAGGAAGGUAGAAUUCCCGGUGUAGCGGUGAAAUGCGUAGAGAUCGGGAGGAAUACCAGUGGCGAAGGCGGCCUCCUGGACUGACACUGACGCUGAGGUGCGAAAGCGUGGGUAGCAAACAGGAUUAGAUACCCGGGUAGUC
This 465-nucleotide ribosomal RNA is filed under the name Vreelandella stevensii. RNAcentral's name for it is "partial 16S ribosomal RNA". It matches the Rfam family "Bacterial small subunit ribosomal RNA", at positions 338 to 795 of the family's 1533-position model. Lineage: Bacteria; Pseudomonadati; Pseudomonadota; Gammaproteobacteria; Oceanospirillales; Halomonadaceae. The record is from RNAcentral.